This 811-nucleotide ribosomal RNA is filed under the name Mycobacterium sp. GP0612. RNAcentral's name for it is "bacterial SSU rRNA". It matches the Rfam family "Bacterial small subunit ribosomal RNA", at positions 122 to 943 of the family's 1533-position model. Lineage: Bacteria; Bacillati; Actinomycetota; Actinomycetes; Mycobacteriales; Mycobacteriaceae. The record is from RNAcentral.
UGAUCUGCCCUGCACUUUGGGAUAAGCCUGGGAAACUGGGUCUAAUACCGAAUACACCUCUUGGGUUGCAUGACUCUUGGGGGAAAGCUUUUGCGGUGUGGGAUGGGCCCGCGGCCUAUCAGCUUGUUGGUGGGGUGAUGGCCUACCAAGGCGACGACGGGUAGCCGGCCUGAGAGGGUGUCCGGCCACACUGGGACUGAGAUACGGCCCAGACUCCUACGGGAGGCAGCAGUGGGGAAUAUUGCACAAUGGGCGCAAGCCUGAUGCAGCGACGCCGCGUGGGGGAUGACGGCCUUCGGGUUGUAAACCUCUUUCAGCACAGACGAAGCGCAAGUGACGGUAUGUGCAGAAGAAGCACCGGCCAACUACGUGCCAGCAGCCGCGGUAAUACGUAGGGUGCGAGCGUUGUCCGGAAUUACUGGGCGUAAAGAGCUCGUAGGUGGUUUGUCGCGUUGUUCGUGAAAACCGGGGGCUUAACCCUCGGCGUGCGGGCGAUACGGGCAGACUGGAGUACUGCAGGGGAGACUGGAAUUCCUGGUGUAGCGGUGGAAUGCGCAGAUAUCAGGAGGAACACCGGUGGCGAAGGCGGGUCUCUGGGCAGUAACUGACGCUGAGGAGCGAAAGCGUGGGGAGCGAACAGGAUUAGAUACCCUGGUAGUCCACGCCGUAAACGGUGGGUACUAGGGUGUGGGUUUCCUUCCUUGGGAUCCGUGCCGUAGCUAACGCAUUAAGUACCCCGCCUGGGGAGUACGGCCGCAAGGCUAAAACUCAAAGGAAUUGACGGGGGCCCGCACAAGCGGCGGAGCAUGUG